Molecule: long non-coding RNA, 282 nt
Organism: Thalassophryne amazonica
Lineage: Eukaryota; Metazoa; Chordata; Actinopteri; Batrachoidiformes; Batrachoididae
Exons: 4
Source: RefSeq, a predicted model, not a curated record
AAGCUUAAAAUUCUCCCUAGCUGUGAUUGUGUUGUAGUCUCUGGCUGCUGACAUCACUUACUUUGAUAUUAAUAACUGUAUGAAUGUCAUAGAAUUUACAUGCAAAUUACAUGUUUCCUGUAGCCAGGUAUCGCAGUGUCGUGAUGACCUUCAUCUUAGGUGUUAUUUUGUUACUACACUGGAUGGGAAGAGUAAGCUCAUUGCUGGUGAGGUCAACCACAAACAUUAUCUCUGCGCCAUCAAGCCAGUAGCUUCUUACUGAAUCUCUGCCAUUCAACAUAC